RNAcentral lists this ribosomal RNA (492 nucleotides) under Triticum aestivum (bread wheat). RNAcentral describes it as "partial small subunit ribosomal RNA". The record is from RNAcentral. Lineage: Eukaryota; Viridiplantae; Streptophyta; Magnoliopsida; Poales; Poaceae.
AUGAUGCAAUUGAAAAUUAUCCAGCAAAUAAUUCAUAAGAUAUUGAAACCAAGUCAUUGUUCUGGCACAUGGAUAGCUAACUUUCACACACCCCUGUCCAUGGCUAAAUCUUUGGUGAUAUUCCAGUCCUUUAUAUCUCCGAUCUCUCUUUACGGACCCCUUCCAUGUCAAGUUUGGUCUACCCUGAUCUCUCAUCCCAACUCUAUCAAGUAUAUCAUCAUUUUGAACCCGAAUCUUCUUGUGUGGCCACAUAUCAAUGUUAACAUGCGCAUCCCUGCUACACCUAGCUGUUGGACAUGCCGCCUUUUAGUUGGCCACUAUUCAACGCUAGACAACCAUCGCAGGUUGAACCGCCAUCCUAUAAACCUGCCUUUUAACUUGUGUGGCUCUCUUAUCACAGAGAACUCCAGAAGUUUGGCACCACUUCAUCCAUCCAGCUUUUAUUUGAUGGCUCACAUCUUCAUUAAUAUCACCAUCCUUCUACAACCUUGA